This 253-nucleotide ribosomal RNA is filed under the name uncultured bacterium. Its description in RNAcentral is "partial 16S ribosomal RNA". It matches the Rfam family "Bacterial small subunit ribosomal RNA", at positions 524 to 776 of the family's 1533-position model. The record is from RNAcentral.
GACGAAGGAUGCAAGCGUUAUCCGGAUUCAUUGGGUUUAAAGGGAGCGUAGGCGGCCUUGUAAGUCAGUGGUGAAAUCUCGCAGCUUAAUUGCGAAACUGCCAUUGAUACUGCUUGGCUAGAGUAUAGAUGCUGUGGGCGGAAUAUGACAUGUAGUGGUGAAAUACAUAGAGAUGUCAUAGAACACCGAUUGCGAAGGCAGCUCACAAAACUAUAACUGACGCUGAGGCUCGAAAGUGUGGGGAUCAAACAGG